RNAcentral lists this non-coding RNA (186 nucleotides) under Clostridium botulinum. Its description in RNAcentral is "6S RNA". It matches the Rfam family "6S / SsrS RNA". From Rfam's summary of the family: E. coli 6S RNA was the first non coding RNA to be sequenced, but its function was unknown until recently. It consists of 184 nucleotides that fold into an extended hairpin structure with a large single-stranded internal bulge. Lineage: Bacteria; Bacillati; Bacillota; Clostridia; Eubacteriales; Clostridiaceae. The record is from RNAcentral. RNAcentral also lists the same sequence under 1 other name.
GUUUUCCUAAGAUGUUCGCAUAGCUUAUUAUAUUCAACCUACAUGACAUUUUCGGGAUUUGUGACAUACUUAUGUCUGUCAGGCUUCUCUAAAUUAAUUUACAGAAGAAGACAAAAUUAAGUUGAACUUAACCCACCUGCGAGGCGCAGGUAUGAAUAUGUAAGUAAACGGCAUGUUGGGAGCUAU